Molecule: long non-coding RNA, 539 nt
Filed under: Solanum tuberosum (potato)
Lineage: Eukaryota; Viridiplantae; Streptophyta; Magnoliopsida; Solanales; Solanaceae
Description: long non-coding RNA (STUB_LNC002964)
Source: RNAcentral
AAAACAACAAAUUCCAAUUCUAGAGGUGUGAGAUUAAAGAUCGUUUCUUUACUCCAUUACAAACCACCUAAAUGAAGUAAAAGUUCCCAACUUUCUCAAAACCCAAUACCAGCACACAACAAAUAAACAUCAACAAACAAAAAAAAGUGUUCCCUCAGAAAGAAAAAAACCUCAUUACUCAACAAGCACCUAAAACAACAAAUUCCAAUUCUAGAGGUAUGAGUUAAAGAUCGUUUCUUUACUCCAUUACAAAACCACUUAAAUGAAGUUAAAGUUCCCAACUUUCUCAAAACCCAAUAUCAGCACACAACAAAUAAACAUCAACAAACAAAAAAAAAACGUCAUGCAAGAAACACUCAGCAAACUCACACAAGUUAAAACCUAUAAAACUAGGCUAAAACCAAACAAACCAAAAACAUCCUCAAGAAAAUAACUUCACAGACUUCAAUUUCAACACAAACCCACAAAGUAAAACAAAAGAAAGAACCUCAACAACAACAGUAUUACCAAAAUCAACCACUCUAAAAGAAAAAAGGAAA